This 951-nucleotide ribosomal RNA is filed under the name Triticum aestivum (bread wheat). RNAcentral's name for it is "partial small subunit ribosomal RNA". The record is from RNAcentral. Lineage: Eukaryota; Viridiplantae; Streptophyta; Magnoliopsida; Poales; Poaceae.
UAUAGUAGAAAAAUGGAUAUUACUGCUGAGCUUUACGAGCUCAUGGUGAAUGAGGAAAUCUUCUGGCUUCAACAGUCUCAUGAGCGGUGGCUGCUCAAGGGAGACCUGUAUACCGACUAUUAUCACAAAAUUGCUAAUGGGAGGAAACGUAAAAAUACAAUCCAAUCACUUAAAAUGGGCGAGACACUGAUUGAAGGCAUGGACAAUUUGAUUGCACAUGCCACUGAGUUCUACAAAGAUCUAUUCGGGCCAGCCCCUGGCAACCAGAUUCAUCUUGAUCCGGAAACUUGGUCUCCUGGGGAGAAAUUAGACGAAAAAGAUAAUGAAGAUCUUUGCCGAGAAUUUACAAAACAAGAGGUCAAAGAGGCCCUGUUUGAUAUGGCCCCUAAUAGAGCCCCUGGACCCAAUAAUAUUCCUGCCGAGUUUUAUCAGGUAUGCUGGGAUAUAGUUAAAGAUGACAUUAUGGCCCUUUUUAAAGCUUUUCAUCAAGGGACGCUGGAUGUCCAGCGGCUUAACUAUGGAGUUAUUACGCUGCUUCCUAAGGUUUCUGGAGCUGAGAAAAUCCAACAGUACAGACCUAUCUGCUUGUUGAGAUGCCCAUAUAAGCUAAUCACCAAAGUCCUUGACCGUAGAGUUGCCAUCUAUGCAAAUAAGCUCACUAGUCCUACUCAGAACGCUUUUGUAAAAGGGAGGAAUAUCAUGGACGGUGUCCUGUCCCUUCAUGAAAUCCUUAACUACACUUAUGUUAAGAAGAAAGUUGGAAUCAUCCUUAAGUUGGACUUUGAGAAAGCCUAUGAUAAGGUGAAUUGGGAUUUUCUCCUUGAAUGCCACAAGAUGCGGGGUUUUGACAAAACUUGGUGUGGAUGGAUCGAACAGAUUCUGCAUAAUGGGACAGUUAGCAUCAAACUAAAUGGUAAUGUUGGGCCAUAUUUUCAAAGCAAAAAAGGGGUG